This 468-nucleotide ribosomal RNA is filed under the name uncultured bacterium. RNAcentral's name for it is "partial 16S ribosomal RNA". It matches the Rfam family "Bacterial small subunit ribosomal RNA", at positions 28 to 507 of the family's 1533-position model. The record is from RNAcentral.
GACGAACGCUGGCGGCGUGCUUAACACAUGCAAGUCGAACGGAAAGGCCCUGCUUUUGUGGGGUGCUCGAGUGGCGAACGGGUGAGUAACACGUGAGUAACCUGCCCUUGACUUUGGGAUAACUUCAGGAAACUGGGGCUAAUACCGGAUAGGAGCUCCUGCUGCAUGGUGGGGGUUGGAAAGUCUCGGCGGUUGGGGAUGGACUCGCGGCUUAUCAGCUUGUUGGUGGGGUAGUGGCUUACCAAGGCUUUGACGGGUAGCCGGCCUGAGAGGGUGACCGGCCACAUUGGGACUGAGAUACGGACCAGAAGCCUACGGGAGGCAGCAGUGGGGAAUAUUGCACAAUGGGCGGAAGCCUGAUGCAGCAACGCCGCGUGCGGGAUGACGGCCUUCGGGUUGUAAACCGCUUUCGCCUGUGACGAAGCGUGAGUGACGGUAAUGGGUAAAGAAGCACCGGCUAACUACGUG